Stegostoma tigrinum is the source of this 629-nucleotide long non-coding RNA. RefSeq lists it as uncharacterized. The transcript is spliced from 3 exons. The record is from RefSeq and is a predicted model, not a curated record. NCBI's taxonomy places the organism in Eukaryota, Metazoa, Chordata, Chondrichthyes, Orectolobiformes, Stegostomatidae.
GCAGGCGCGGGGCAGCUCGCGGGCACCCAGCAGCGCGAGCGCCCCGCUCGCCCACAGCACGAGCGCCGCCGCCGCCAUCGACAGGCGCCUGGCCGUCGUCGACAUCCUCUCUCUCUCAGUUAUAACUUUCUUGCCCCUCGACCAACUCUUUCCUCGAAAUCCACCUUCCGGAUCUGAUUUUUCUUCUUGUCCCCCAACCCCACUCUUCUUUCACUCGUUUAUUUCGGUUUCGUUGUGCCGCCGGUGGGAUCCCCUGAAGAGAAGAUUGUCCCUUCCGACCCCAAACAAACAAACAAAAAAUCUUCCAACAACUUUCUCGUCACCCGAAGGCGAAGGAGAAUCUGGAUUGGAUACGUAUGGGUUCCAGGUUUGAUUCCAGGCCUGCGCUGAGCAAACUAAACAUAACCAGGAUAGCUGUAGAUAACAAAGAAUGAAGCUGGAUAAACACAGCAGGCCAAGCAGCAUCUCAGAAGCACAAAAGCUGACGUUUUGGGCCUAGACCCUUCAUCAGAAAGGAUAGCUUGACCCGGAGCGAAGCAGAGACAGUAGGGAUGAGGCAGGGAUGGCAGCCAGCAGGCCCAGAGUAAAGUGGGGACAGCCUGGAGCAGAGCAGGGCUGGUAGCCAGUGG